AAGUCGUAACAAGGUCUCCGUAGGUGAACCUGCGGAGGGAUCAUUAACACGUUUUUUCUAAACGUUUUUUUUCCAACCAACCUGUUGAACGUAAUGAAUUUUUUCAAUUUCCACACAAAAAAAGAAAAGUGUGUGAUGCAAAUCACUCACUCACUCUUUUUUUGUUGUUGGAAACGGGUGUUCCUACCCAUUUUUCAUAUUAUUAACCAUUUUCACCACUUGUCAACUUCUGGCUGAUCUUAUUUUUCUAUUUCAUUUCGUUUCACGAAUGAAAUAGUUUGUUAAUAACUUAACAUAUCCAAAAAGCACAACUCUUAGCAAUGGAUAUCUAGGUUCUC
RNAcentral lists this unclassified non-coding RNA (338 nucleotides) under fungal sp. Its description in RNAcentral is "partial internal transcribed spacer region". The stretch from base 1 to 46 matches the Rfam family "Eukaryotic small subunit ribosomal RNA", at positions 1786 to 1831 of the family's 1831-position model. The record is from RNAcentral. Lineage: Eukaryota; Fungi.